This 1346-nucleotide ribosomal RNA is filed under the name uncultured bacterium. RNAcentral describes it as "bacterial SSU rRNA". It matches the Rfam family "Bacterial small subunit ribosomal RNA", at positions 28 to 1381 of the family's 1533-position model. The record is from RNAcentral.
GACGAACGCUGGCGGCGUGCUUAACACAUGCAAGUCGAACGGAAAGGCCCUGCUUUUGUGGGGUGCUCGAGUGGCGAACGGGUGAGUAACACGUGAGUAACCUGCCCUUGACUUUGGGAUAACUUCAGGAAACUGGGGCUAAUACCGGAUAGGAGCUCCUGCUGCAUGGUGGGGGUUGGAAAGUUUCGGCGGUUGGGGAUGGACUCGCGGCUUAUCAGCUUGUUGGUGGGGUAGUGGCUUACCAAGGCUUUGACGGGUAGCCGGCCUGAGAGGGUGACCGGCCACAUUGGGACUGAGAUACGGCCCAGACUCCUACGGGAGGCAGCAGUGGGGAAUAUUGCACAAUGGGCGGAAGCCUGAUGCAGCAACGCCGCGUGCGGGAUGACGGCCUUCGGGUUGUAAACCGCUUUCGCCUGUGACGAAGCGUGAGUGACGGUAAUGGGUAAAGAAGCACCGGCUAACUACGUGCCAGCAGCCGCGGUGAUACGUAGGGUGCGAGCGUUGUCCGGAUUUAUUGGGCGUAAAGGGCUCGUAGGUGGUUGAUCGCGUCGGAAGUGUAAUCUUGGGGCUUAACCCUGAGCGUGCUUUCGAUACGGGUUGACUUGAGGAAGGUAGGGGAGAAUGGAAUUCCUGGUGGAGCGGUGGAAUGCGCAGAUAUCAGGAGGAACACCAGUGGCGAAGGCGGUUCUCUGGGCCUUUCCUGACGCUGAGGAGCGAAAGCGUGGGGAGCGAACAGGCUUAGAUACCCUGGUAGUCCACGCUGUAAACGGUGGGUACUAGGUGUGGGGUCCAUUCCACGGGUUCCGUGCCGUAGCUAACGCUUUAAGUACCCCGCCUGGGGAGUACGGCCGCAAGGCUAAAACUCAAAGGAAUUGACGGGGCCCCGCACAAGCGGCGGAGCAUGCGGAUUAAUUCGAUGCAACGCGUAGAACCUUACCUGGGUUUGACAUGGAUCGGGAGUACUCAGAGAUGGGUGUGCCUCUUUUGGGGUCGGUUCGCAGGUGGUGCAUGGCUGUCGUCAGCUCGUGUCGUGAGAUGUUGGGUUAAGUCCCGCAACGAGCGCAACCCUUGUUCACUGUUGCCAGCACGUUAUGGUGGGGACUCAGUGGAGACCGCCGGGGUCAACUCGGAGGAAGGUGGGGAUGACGUCAAGUCAUCAUGCCCCUUAUGUCCAGGGCUUCACGCAUGCUACGAUGGCUGGUACAGAGAGUGGCGAGCCUGUGAGGGUGAGCGAAUCUCGAAAAGCCGGUCUCAGUUCGGAUUGGGGUCUGCAACUCGACCUCAUGAAGUCGGAGUCGCUAGUAAUCGCAGAUCAGCAACGCUGCGGUGAAUACGUUCCCGGGGCU